GACGAACGCUGGCGGCGUGCUUAACACAUGCAAGUCGAACGGAAAGGCCCUGCUUUUGUGGGGUGCUCGAGUAGCGAACGGGUGAGUAACACGUGAGUAACCUGCCCUUGACUUUGGGAUAACGUCAGGAAACUGGGGCUAAUACCGGAUAGGAGCUCCUGCUGCAAGGUGGGGGUUGGAAAGUUUCGGCGGUUGGGGAUGGACUCGCGGCUUAUCAGCUUGUUGGUGGGGUAGUGGCUUACCAAGGCUUUGACGGGUAGCCGGCCUGAGAGGGUGACCGGCCCCAUUGGGACUGAGAUGCGGCCCAGACUCCUCCGGGAGGCAGGAGUGGGGAAUAUUGCACAAUGGGCGGAAGCUUGAUGCAGCAACGCCGCGUGGGGGAUGACGGCCUUCGGGUUGUAUACCGCUUUCGCCUGUGACGAAGCGUAAGUGACGGUAAUGGGUAAAGAAGCACCGGCUAACUACGUG
RNAcentral lists this ribosomal RNA (468 nucleotides) under uncultured bacterium. Its description in RNAcentral is "partial 16S ribosomal RNA". It matches the Rfam family "Bacterial small subunit ribosomal RNA", at positions 28 to 507 of the family's 1533-position model. The record is from RNAcentral.